This 205-nucleotide long non-coding RNA is filed under the name Musa acuminata (dwarf banana). RNAcentral's name for it is "long non-coding RNA (MACU_LNC009348)". The record is from RNAcentral. Lineage: Eukaryota; Viridiplantae; Streptophyta; Magnoliopsida; Zingiberales; Musaceae.
AAAAACAGGAUAUAAUUUUUGAAAAAUAAUUUUUUUAUUUCCUAUUCCUACUAUCUAAAUUAAGCACUCAUGAAAAACUUCAAGUAAUUUCAAAAUAAUUCAAGAGAGUUGAGUUACUUACCUUGUAGUCGAAGCCCGUCAAAGCCCAAUUCGCCGUUUCACCUUUGGAAGUUCUUGAUUCAUCCUUGGGUGCCUUCCUUUUCUU